RNAcentral lists this ribosomal RNA (253 nucleotides) under uncultured bacterium. Its description in RNAcentral is "partial 16S ribosomal RNA". It matches the Rfam family "Bacterial small subunit ribosomal RNA", at positions 524 to 776 of the family's 1533-position model. The record is from RNAcentral.
UACGGGGGGGGCAAGCGUUGUUCGGAAUUACUGGGCGUAAAGCGCGUGUAGGCGGCUUUUCAAGUCGGACGUGAAAGCCCUGGGCUUAACCCAGGAACUGCGUUUGAUACUGUUAAGCUAGAGUGUGGAAGGGGCUACUGGAAUUCCGUGUGUAGCGGUGAAAUGCGUAGAUAUCUGGAGGAACACCGGUGGCGAAGGCGGCGUUCUGGACUGCUACUGACACUGAGGAACGAAAGCCAGGGGAGCAAACGGG